This 257-nucleotide long non-coding RNA is filed under the name Medicago truncatula (barrel medic). Its description in RNAcentral is "long non-coding RNA (MTRU_LNC006834)". Lineage: Eukaryota; Viridiplantae; Streptophyta; Magnoliopsida; Fabales; Fabaceae. The record is from RNAcentral.
CUAUGAAUUUCGGCCCUUUGACUGUGGUGCAGACUGCUCAUUUUAUAGUGUUGAUUUUAGGUUAGGGUUUGUUUGAAAGAUGCAGAAAAAUUUGUAGCUUGGGGAGGAAAGAAAGGGAACGCGGACUGAUGACGGACUGAUUGGAUUUUAUCGGACAUUAACAAAUGAACAAAAGUGAUAAAUAAGAAAAUAAAAAUAAAAAUAAAAUAAAUGCAGACUUGACUUUUGGACUUAUCUAAAAUGGAAUUGAAAAUUUA